GGCGCGCUCGGGCGCCGCAUCAGGCGGCGGAAGCGAGGUGGGGAGGCGGCGCUGCGCUCCAAGGAUGCAACAACGAGGCGUGGAGGCGGCGGUGCCCUCGGGCGCCGCAUCAGGCGGCGACAUCGAGGCGGGGAGGCGGCGCUGUGCUCCGAGGAUGCAGCAGCGAGGCGUCGAGGAGGCGCUGUGCUCGGGUGCCGCAUCAGGCGGCGGCAGCGAGGCAGGAGGCGCACGGGGAGAUGAAGGAGGAGAAAAUGGAGAGUCGGCCGGGGCACGGACCACAGCGGCGCAAGCUUGCAGGGGGCGAGAGAUCGAGGAAGAGGCGGGAGUCGGGUCAAUCGAUCUGUCGCACGACGGAUGCUGCACUCCCUUUUCCAUCUAGCAACGGGCCGCAGAGGGAGGUGGAAGAGGAGCCACAACCUACGAGCAGGAUGCUGCCGCCUAAUACGCAUCUGACCAUGAGCUGGAGGAUAAGAGAAGCGCAUCUCUGAAAUUCACAGUUUUAAACCCAAAGAGAUACAUCUAGACAAUGCUCGCAUGAGUGGUUCCAGUGUCAUAUACGCCAACAUGGCAGUUGGAGAUUUGGUAUCGGAUGCUGCUCCAAGAACGAGGGGCCAAGGUGCUGAACUAACAGCAGGGGGAGGAUGAUUCUUCAGGUAACAACAUAGUCCGUCGACUAGAGAAUUAAGUUAACUGUUUGCUUUGCUUGAAGCUCCAAAUUGUAGUUAUUUUAUUCGUUCACUGAUUUGGUAUAAUCUUAAUCUAGGAGGAUUAUCACUGUAUGAUAUGAGAUACUGAUGUUUAGCAAUGAUAAAAGUCUGACGUUGAAUGGUUCUUUUCGGAAGUACAGUUGUAAGAUAUAUGAUUCUAGCUUCGACUUUAACUGGACAGUACUAAUUGGACAUAUAAUUGAUGAUUUAUGCACAACAAGAUAUUCUGCUGCUUUUAGUUCUUCAAUCAGAUUCAUCUAGCCCUUUGUUGACUUUCUAAUUGUUCCACCCUCUACCUCUGAAACUCAGAAAUCAGAGAAAGGUCAUUGGCAAUUUGGCAUAUCCCUGUCACUGGCGAAGGUUUGCUAGAGAGGAAGAGGACCAAUAUUAUUUUUUCUAUUGUUGGGGGCAUACAUAAUACAUAUAGAUAAAAUUGGACCAUUUAUAACAGAGAUUUCUUGCCAAAAAUAUUAACUCUGUCCAGCAGUGGGCAUUGUCAAGGUAAUAAAAGGAAUUUGCUGAACCUAAUUGAAUGAAAGAGGGAUGGCUAAUCUGAUUGAGAACCUUCUGUAACUGAAUAGACUUACGAACGAUCAACAAUAGUAAAUAGUUCCAAAUUAACAGACGUUGUUUGAUUAAAAUACUGAUUUAAGGAUUUCGCGAAUCUAUAAUUCUCUACAUAAUCAGUUAGUGUAUUUUUUAUCACCGGGUUAUCCUAGACCACUUGGGGACAGUAUCAUCAAUUUCUUGCAUACUGCAAUGCAAGUUUUAAAAGCCAGUUUCUUAUGUUUCCUAUUAUCUUUAUGUUCACCUAACUGCCAAGAAUCAUAAAGGAUGCACCUAAGGAGGUAUAUUUUGUUUUAUGCAUUUUUUAAGUGUACUUAUGCUGCAACUGAUUAACAAAACAUUGUUCAACCUUCUAUGAGUCUGCCUAGGGAGCUGCACAGAUUUGGAACAACUUCCAAAACAUGCACCAAGCAUUUUGGUCAGGUACCACUAAGCUGCUAGAGCAAGAUAGCUGGGAUGUCAAGUCCCUAGGGCAAUGGUAAAUCUCAAAUUGCCUGAUGUUCGAUGGGAAGCAUCAGACAAUACCAAUGUCCAGUGUAAGAUCUGAUUGUGCAGGUGGUCAAGCCAAGAUAAGUGUGCGUGCAUCACCGUUUAGUCGAGAUUUAGAAAAAGAUACUAUGACUAAUCCAUACAGUGGAUAUGCGCCAAUGCUCAAAUUUUAAAAAUGAAGGAUUCAACUUUUUUGGAUUAUUAUUAUUUGUGAACUCGCGAGUAUGCCUAGCAAUCGUAAAAAAAAUAUAUAGUUCGACUUAGUGGUAGGUUCUGCAGUAGUCUUGCCUUGAAGGUUUCGUUCAUAGUAAAAAUUGAUAUGUCUUUAUGAAGUAAUCUGAGCAUUUUGUUGGUUGCAGGUCAACUUUGUUCUCCAAUAUAGGUGGUGUACGUUUGUGCAAAAUGAUUAUGAAAGGACUUCUGGUAACUUUAUCUUUUGUCAAGGUUGUUUACUUGGUGGAGCAAACUUCCAUUUCCUCUGAACAGGUGAACAUGACAUGUGUGAUGGCUGUCAGCCCUAAUGAGCUUUAGACAUGUAUCUGAGGUUUCGUUGGCUGUAAACAAGUAGGGUCAACGAGUCGAGCAGAUCCUGGACCAUCACAUGAACACAUGAAACAGGUCGAUACCGGCAGCUUUUGGUAACCAUUCUAAGCUCUAGCACCUUGAUGCAAGCCAGAAUAGCCUCACCAGAUCAACAUUCCCGGGAAUAACAGAAUUGGUGAACCAGUUGACACUUGAUCUUAACUAAUCAGUUAAUUAAACCCUGAAUCUGAAUGAAGGGCUCCUUGAUUAAUUUGCUCACAAGUAGUCUAAUGAUUCAGAGGUUUAGACUUUAGUGUUUUUGGAUUAUUACGGGCAGCAACCCUGCUUUUGAGCACACCCAAACAAAUUGAAUCAGGGUCUCUGCUUUUGGUUGUUCAAGUUUGUGGUAAAUCAUUAUGAACAGUUGUGUUUCCGGUGGCACCUAAAUUAUUGGUAGAUC
Molecule: long non-coding RNA, 2745 nt
Organism: Triticum dicoccoides
Lineage: Eukaryota; Viridiplantae; Streptophyta; Magnoliopsida; Poales; Poaceae
Exons: 3
Source: RefSeq, a predicted model, not a curated record